GCCGGAGUGGCGAAACAGGUAGACGCGCCAGACUCAAAAUCUGGUGACCGCAAGGUCGUGCCGGUUCGAUCCCGGCCUCCGGUA
Molecule: transfer RNA, 84 nt
Filed under: Myxococcales bacterium
Lineage: Bacteria; Pseudomonadati; Myxococcota; Myxococcia; Myxococcales
Description: tRNA-Leu
Rfam family: tRNA
About the family: Transfer RNA (tRNA) molecules are approximately 80 nucleotides in length. Their secondary structure includes four short double-helical elements and three loops (D, anti-codon, and T loops). Further hydrogen bonds mediate the characteristic L-shaped molecular structure. tRNAs have two regions of fundamental functional importance: the anti-codon, which is responsible for specific mRNA codon recognition, and the 3' end, to which the tRNAs corresponding amino acid is attached (by aminoacyl-tRNA synthetases). tRNAs cope with the degeneracy of the genetic code in two manners: having more than one tRNA (with a specific anti-codon) for a particular amino acid; and 'wobble' base-pairing, i.e. permitting non-standard base-pairing at the 3rd anti-codon position.
Source: RNAcentral